CAGGUCUGUGAUGCCCUUAGAUGUUUUGGGCUGCACGCGCGCUACACUGAUGCGUUCAACGAGUUUAUGACCUUGCCCGGAAGGGUUGGGUAAUCUUUUNAAAACGCAUCGUGAUGGGGAUAGAUUAUUGCAAUUAUUAAUCUUCAACGAGGAAUUCCUAGUAAGCGCGAGUCAUCAGCUCGUGCUGAUUACGUCCCUGCCCUUUGCACACACCGCCC
This 218-nucleotide ribosomal RNA is filed under the name uncultured eukaryote. Its description in RNAcentral is "partial 18S ribosomal RNA". It matches the Rfam family "Eukaryotic small subunit ribosomal RNA", at positions 1457 to 1674 of the family's 1831-position model. The record is from RNAcentral.